Molecule: long non-coding RNA, 935 nt
Filed under: Rattus norvegicus (Norway rat)
Lineage: Eukaryota; Metazoa; Chordata; Mammalia; Rodentia; Muridae
Description: long non-coding RNA NONRATT023132
Source: RNAcentral
UCCUUAUAAUUUUGUCUUUAUUUUCUUGGUUUAAAAAAAAUUGUUAUUAAUAACAAAGUAUAUUUAAAAUUUCUCACAAGAAGAAAUAUUUGGUUAUUUGCCACCUAUGGUCUCUUUACACUGCUGAUGUAUUUUAAUUUAGAAUUAGAUUGGAGAGGGUUAAAUUAGGCUGAGUUAUAAUCAAUUUUACGGUUCUGUUACAUGGCAAUUGAAUGGAAUAAAGAAUUUAGCUAGUAGUUAUCCUGACCUUAGGUUAAAACUUUCUAAAAUCAGGAAUUAUCUUCUGGUUCUAUAAGAAUAGUGUAUAUUCUUUAGCUAAAUUUUUAUGUUAUUUUUGAACCAAACCAUUGUCAGGUUCCCAAGUCAGUCAGAGAGAGUAUCACAUCCUCCUGAAGCACAGCCAUACAUUUAUAUCAGUGAGCACUUUAUCUUCCUUGAAGCUUUUAUAUAUCACUUCUUUAUACUAAACAGAAUGAAUCAAAAGUAGUAUAGUGGAAGGUUAGCGCAGGUCUAUCAGAAUGUAGCUGAUCGUGCUUGAAAUCUUAGGUCAAAGGAAGAUACUUUCAAGUCUGUACCAUUUUUUAUAUAGGCUUUUGCUAGAAACAGUCUGAGAGUUCGGUAGCUACUGGUGAAGACCUCACUACAUAUAAACGAUGCAGUGUGUUGGCUUCAGCUUCUGGAGGGAGUUCACUUGUCUGGCAGGCUUGCUCAUGUUUAAAGAAGCAUGUAUCUACUUCCAAUGCCUCCUUUCUGCUGUGUAUUGGUUUUGCAUCCAAAGCAGAUAGCAAAGAGGAAGAGGAUGCUUGUGGUUCACAGCCAAAGGGGCUGCAGAAGACGGACCUGUACCACCUUCAGAAGUCCUUACUGGAAAUGAAAGAGCUAAGGAGAACAACUAAGAAGCCAACCAAGUUUGAAAUGCUCAGAGAAAAUGUUAU